RNAcentral lists this long non-coding RNA (395 nucleotides) under Helianthus annuus (common sunflower). RNAcentral describes it as "sRNA HanXRQr2_Chr06g0269961". Lineage: Eukaryota; Viridiplantae; Streptophyta; Magnoliopsida; Asterales; Asteraceae. The record is from RNAcentral.
GCCACAACCAGCCCCUAACCUGCCACCAACCUCAUCCCUCUACCUGAAUACCACGGUAACGGUCUCGGCCCAAAGUUACAACAUUUCACCCGGGUCGACUCUCUGGCGACUGGUGGUUUCAACCACGGUGACGGUCUCGGCCCAAACACAACUCAUUUCACCAGAUCUGGAAUGAGGUGGCUUUCAGAUACGACAUUGACGGUGCCACAACGGUAUGGUGGUUCGAAUUGAAGGCAAGUUAGGUAACGGGGUGGUAGAGGUUGGAAGUGACGGCAGCGGUGGUUAAAUUUGUGAAAUCUGGACAAAAUUUAAAACCAUUCACCUUCCUCUGCUGCUUCUGGACUAAAUCAUUAAGGAGGAUAAAGAACAAAGAAUUUGCAGGUGAAGAUGAAAGU